This 503-nucleotide ribosomal RNA is filed under the name uncultured bacterium. RNAcentral describes it as "bacterial SSU rRNA". It matches the Rfam family "Bacterial small subunit ribosomal RNA", at positions 28 to 507 of the family's 1533-position model. The record is from RNAcentral.
AACGAACGCUGGCGGCGUGCUUAAGACAUGCAAGUCGUACGGAAAGGCCCCCUUCGGGGGGCACUCGAGUGGCGCACGGGUGAGUAACGCGUGGGUAAUCUGCCUUCGGGUCUGGGACAACCCCGGGAAACUGGGGCUAAUACCGGAUGAGACCACGGACUCCUUGGAGUCUGCGGAAAAGAUGGCCUCUCCUUGGAAGCUAUCGCCCGUCGAUGAGCCCGCGUCCCAUUAGCUUGUUGGUGAGGUAACGGCUCACCAAGGCUUCGAUGGGUAGCUGGUCUGAGAGGAUGAUCAGCCACACUGGAACUGAGACACGGUCCAGACUCCUACGGGAGGCAGCAGUCGGGAAUUUUGGGCAAUGGGCGAAAGCCUGACCCAGCAACGCCGCGUGAGGGAUGAAGGCCCUCGGGUCGUAAACCUCUGUCGGGAGGGAAGAACGGUUGCCCUUCGAACAGGUGGGCAGCCUGACGGUACCUCCAAAGGAAGCACCGGCUAACUCCGUG